AACGCGUGAGUAACCUGCCUUACACAAGGGGAUAGCCUCUGGAAACGGAGAAUAAUACCCUAUGAAACUAUCUUAUCGCAUGAAAAGAUAGUCAAAGUGUUUUAGCGGUGUAAGAUGGACUUGCGUCUGAUUAGCUAGUUGGUGAGAUAACAGCCCACCAAGGCAACGAUCAGUAGCCGGCUUGAGAGAGUGUGCGGCCACAUUGGGACUGAGACACGGCCCAG
RNAcentral lists this ribosomal RNA (224 nucleotides) under uncultured Eubacteriales bacterium. Its description in RNAcentral is "uncultured Clostridiales bacterium partial 16S ribosomal RNA". It matches the Rfam family "Bacterial small subunit ribosomal RNA", at positions 112 to 334 of the family's 1533-position model. Lineage: Bacteria; Bacillati; Bacillota; Clostridia; Eubacteriales. The record is from RNAcentral.